UCUGCUGAUAUCAUCUUGCCGAUAGAAGUUUUCUACAGCCUCUGAAACAUUCUCUGGCAACUUUUUUCCAGUUUUUGGAUAAGGGGUAGCAAGGGUGCCUUUUUCCAAUGAUAAAUGCAUUGCUUGUGUAGCCAUUCUUUGAGAGCAGCCCAAGGUGGCCAUUAUUUCCUUUGACUCCAUGUUUGCACAAAAAUAGUCAGAACUGUUAUCUUUUCACUUCUACUUUCAGUGCUGCGAAAUUUUGCAAUUAGCUUUUGCACAAUUUCUGCUGGCAUUUCAUCUUCCUCAUCCCAAAGAAACAUCCAAAAUCAACGAUAGAGAGGAGCCACAUGCAGCAUCAAAUUUUCUUUCAAGGGUGUCACACACUCUUUUCUUUUUCUGAGAAAGGGAGCACAUCUUGACUUUAUUUUUUGUUGACUCAGAGGGCUUUCUCCGAUUUGCCCUAAAGUUUCAUUUAGGCUUUAAAUCUCGUAAACUAAAAAACUGCCUUUUCAGUAAUGUACUAAAUGCUUUCACCAAAGUCUGAAGUCUGUUUGAAGUUUCUAAAGCACGUUUCUUACAUUGGUUUUUUAUUUACUGUUUCCUUGUAAUAGACAGGUGCUAUUGAAGAGGACUUCCUGGUUUGACAAUUACAGGAUAAGAACAGCCAAUUUCAGAAAUUAUUUAAAAUUGAUGGGCAUUCUUAAAUCAUAAAGUUAAAUAACAUGUUUAGACUAAAAUUCACUAACAUGCCAUUAAUGGAAAGUUGUCAUUUCCUGAAUUAGCAGGAGGUUUUCAUUCAAUGAUUGCCUUGGUAGACUUGAUGCUGUUGCAGUGAAAACAGCAAUUUUAACACAUGGACCAAGAAGUCCUCUAAACUCUCCAACAAAUCCAAACCAUUUCCUGAAAGGAGUUCCUUGUGUUGCAGUUAGGCCCCUGCCAAAUAAAGAAAAAUUAAAUAUAGUAUUUAAUUAAUUUCAUAUACUGAACAUCUAAAUUGAGCCGUUUACAAGAUACCUAAACAAAAUAUGCUGUACUGCUAGUUACAUAAGGACUGAAGAACUUUGAUGAUUUGCUCUGAAAUGUGAUAAAUUAUUUAUUGCUUCUCAGUUUAAAAAUGACAGUUGCAAAAAGAUUUGAUUUAAAUAUGGAUUCAAGCUGAAUUUUCACUGAAUUUAUGAGCUGCCUUUAAAAACCUAAAUAAAGCAAUGUUUGUUUCUACAGGAUUUUUUCAGAAAUUCUUGAAUAAACACAUUUACAGAACUACAUUGCUUCAAAGCAUGUUUUUUCUCUAAUCACGGUGCUCAAUAGCUUGACACAAACAAUCAGAAAUGCAGGCAUUUUAUUCAUCUAGCCAUGUUAAUAUUAUAUUGUGGUGUACAGAAAUAUAGGGACUGCAUCUGUAUUUUUAAGCAUAUUUUAUUUGAAUUAUGUAUCCAUUAACAAGUUUUUUUCAGUAAACAAACUUUGCUGAUAGAUUUGCUUUUGUAGGCAAGAGUAAAAUGUUUCCUAUAUUUUCAUAAAUAUCAAAAUCGUGCACUUUUUCAAUACCUAUUCAUAAAAUCACAAACAAUGGCAAAGGACAAAGAACAUUAAUAAUUAAAAGGUAUACAUAAGGCAUGGUAGUUAUAUUUGGUAUAUACCACUGUGUAAUACAAUGUGCAUCGUCAAAUGCAACUGCAACACAUAGGAAACAUGUAGUUUCUGGAAACAUGUAGACAUGAGAAAUGUACGUCACUUCAGGAAGCUAGCAUUAACUCAGGUGAAGUAAAAAUGCAAGUGAAAUCUUGGCCAUAUUUGUUGUCUUUCAAAAUACUGUUCACAACCUCUUCUGUCUGAUCUGCAUAGAUUUCAUCUGGUUUCAACCCUAAACACUGGUCAAGCAUUAAUGAUUGCAGCGUUGAAACAACCAGAAUACAACUGGAUAUUGGAUUUUGAUCUAGCAAAUAGUCUUCAACAAGAGGGAUGGCUUGAAAAACGAAUGAUUUACCAUAUCCAGUUGGAGCACUGAAAUAGAGGACUUUGCCUUUUGCAACUUUUUGGAAUAUGAUUUGAUUGGCUACAAAACAAUAUUAAAAAAGUGGUUUGAACAAUAAACAAAGAGAUAUUGUUGUUCUUCAAAAAAAGGCAGGACAAGCUUUAACACUUUAUUUCACAGACUCUACUUUUCCCAUAGUCGAGUCUGCACACAGGCUACAUGCUGAACGCCAAAACAUCGAAACUGUGAAGGAUGUUGCUUGCGAAACAUCAACAAGAGUUAGACCGAAACUGAGAAGAAUGUUGUUUGCAAACCAUCAACAAGAGUUAGGCUGUCAGCCCAUGAUCUCAGGAUAGUGAGUACAACAUUAAUUAUUAUAGGUCAAUAUCUACCAAAACAAUCGUUUUAAGCAUGCAAAAUCUGUGGACCUCUACAGAAGUUCAUUUGGCGCAGUCACCCACUAGUCCUUGGGAAGUAUCCUGCAGGAGAUAUUAUGACAAGUUUUGGUGUGCUGAUGUCAGGAGUCAAAAUCAACCAAACCUUGUUGAUGUUGAAACAUAUGGGAUUACCUUCUAUUUCAAGGAGAAUGUGUUGCUACUAACAAAGAAAAUUCCACUUCCCAAUGAUACAGAAGGUUUUGAAAGCUUAUCAAGACAACUUGCUCAAACAAAAAAGUGGAUGGUAGUACAUGGAGUGGAGAUCGAAGAUUUGAUUCCUUGAAUCAUAGUGCCAAGUAUGGCACAUAUUCCCUUUAUAAAAACAACAUUUCAGAAAUAGCCCACAUUGAACUUCUUCAGUUCAAUCAGUUGGGAAGCAACACAAAAAUUGAGCUUGAUGGAACAAAGAUAUAUAUUGCAUUUAUUGAAAAAAAUUCCUUGCUUACCAAGGCACUAAUAACUGAUCGACAUAAAGAAUUGGCAAAGUGGAUGAGAAAAAAACAUCCAGAAAUACAGCAUUUCUUUGACAUUUGGCACAUUACCAGUUAUAUAGAACUGUGUUCACCGGAAUGUUGGAUUUUUUUGCAAACUGACUUUGUAAGGAAUGGCAGGAGUUUUUGCAAUGCCUCUGUAUUAUGCUGCUCAAUCUUUCGACUCAGCUCUGAGACAGUAGUACUUUUCACAUUUUGUUCAGAUUCAGUGUAAAUUGAAUGAAUUUGUGGCAGCAGCCAACCAUAGAUGAGUAAGGUAUAUGUCAGAUUGUUGCCAAUUACCAAUUCAAAUUUGGGAAUCAUACAUUCUUCCUCAAAGAGCUUUAGUCUCUGCUGGUUACUCACUGCCUCUAGAUGCCAAGCUGGAAUCUUAAGUUUAGCAGCUCUUUUUAUUAGCAGCCUUCCGAACUUUGGUACAAAUCAGUUUUUGCCUGUUCCACCACUCGGUUUUGAACUACACUUCUAUGUUUGUAUUCUUUGAUGGGCUUCGAUGGGUGGGACAUCUCUGGCAAGUUCUCUGUGUGUAAAGCACCAAACCGUAGCACUUUCCUGCCAGUGUCUAAUGGAUAAAAAGGAAUUCAACUUAUUUUGUAGCAUACAAAUAAUGUGUUUUCUGUUUAAAUGAAUUAAAUACAGCAGAAUCUAGCAAAUCUAGGAAAUCAAACCCCACAAUAUAAGAGAAUUACAAAUGAUCAUAAAAACCACCAAAAUCUUCUUCAAAACCUUUUUGGGAAACAGAAAGACUUUCUCUUGAAAAAUUUAAAUAACUAAGCUUAUUGUUACGUCGUAUAUAUGGAUAACUGACACAUUUUUUCUAAAGUUUACAGUGAAAAAUGAUUUGAAAAAUUAAAUUGCUACGUUCUAAUUUGGCCUGAGCAAAGCAGACGGGUUGUGCAUUUGUUUUUUGUCUAAGUAGAAGCAUCACACCAGACUUAUUCUUAGUCACACCAGACUUACUUGUGAACUCAAUAUCCUCCAGUUUUUAGUGCCUCUCGCAUGUCCAUACAUUUCCUGAUGCCAUCAGCUGCUUGAAGUUGGAAUCUUCUUGGUGGUACUUGGUUAAGACAUCAAACACAGCCUUCCUCCACAAAACAUAUCGCUCACUUGAUCGCAUGCUGACUUG
Rhopilema esculentum is the source of this 4008-nucleotide non-coding RNA. Lineage: Eukaryota; Metazoa; Cnidaria; Scyphozoa; Rhizostomeae; Rhizostomatidae. The record is from RefSeq and is a predicted model, not a curated record.